GGGGGGGGGGGGGGGGGGGGGGGGGGGGGGGGGGGGGGGGGGGGGGGGGGGGGGGGGGGGGGGGGGGGGGGGGGGGGGGGGGGGGGGGGGGCUGAGACCCCAGACCCAAAUUAAGACCAGAGCCCCCCCGAUUAUCCUGAGACCCCAGACCCAAAUUAACCCCAGAGCCCUCCCCGAGUGCCCUGAGACCCCAGACCCAAAUACACACCAGAGCCCUCCCCGAUUAUCCUGAGACCCCAGACCCAAAUUAACCCCAGAGCCCUCCACGAGUGCCCUGAGACCCCAGACCCAAAUUAAACCCAGAGCCCUCCCCGAGUGCCCUGAGACCCCAGACCCAAAUUAAACCCAGAGCCCUCCCCGAGUGCCCUGAGACCCCAGACCCAAAUUAAACCCAGAGCCCUCCCCGAGUGCCCUGAGACCCCAGACCCAAAUUAAACCCAGAGCCCUCCCCGAGUGCCCUGAGACCCCAGACCCAAAUUAAACCCAGAGCCCUCCCCGAGUGCCCUGAGACCCCAGACCCAAAUUAAACCCAGAGCCCUCCCCGAGUGCCCUGAGACCCCAGACCCAAAUUAAACCCAGAGCCCUCCCCGAGUGCCCUGAGACCCCAGACCCAAAUUAAACCCAGAGCCCUCCCCGAGUGCCCUGAGACCCCAGACCCAAAUUAAACCCAGAGCCCUCCCCGAGUGCCCUGAGACCCCAGACCCAAAUUAAACCCAGAGCCCUCCCCGAGUGCCCUGAGACCCCAGACCCAAAUUAAACCCAGAGCCCUCCCCGAGUGCCCUGAGACCCCAGACCCAAAUUAAACCCAGAGCCCUCCCCGAGUGCCCUGAGACCCCAGACCCAAAUUAAACCCAGAGCCCUCCCCGAGUGCCCUGAGACCCCAGACCCAAAUUAAACCCAGAGCCCUCCCCGAGUGCCCUGAGACCCCAGACCCAAAUUAAACCCAGAGCCCUCCCCGAGUGCCCUGAGACCCCAGACCCAAAUUAAACCCAGAGCCCUCCCCGAGUGCCCUGAGACCCCAGACCCAAAUUAAACCCAGAGCCCUCCCCGAGUGCCCUGAGACCCCAGACCCAAAUUAAACCCAGAGCCCUCCCCGAGUGCCCUGAGACCCCAGACCCAAAUUAAACCCAGAGCCCUCCCCGAGUGCCCUGAGACCCCAGACCCAAAUUAAACCCAGAGCCCUCCCCGAGUGCCCUGAGACCCCAGACCCAAAUUAAACCCAGUACAGCCAGGCCCUAGUAUUAGGU
RNAcentral lists this long non-coding RNA (1247 nucleotides) under Ficedula albicollis (Collared flycatcher). RNAcentral's name for it is "lncRNA (ENSFALG00000024800.1)". Lineage: Eukaryota; Metazoa; Chordata; Aves; Passeriformes; Muscicapidae. The record is from RNAcentral.